AAAACUACUGAUGAGACACUCUACAUGGUUUCAUAACAAGACUUUGAAAUGUUGUGUGUGAAUUUUACACUUCCAGCAUAUCUCAUUUUGGACUAGCCAUAUUUCAAGAGCUCAACAGCCACAUGCUAUCAAUGGCUACCACAUUAAAGUCUCCAAGUCUAGAUGGAAAAUAAACAAGCAAACCUAUAAACACAGUUAAUAGAAUUUAUCCUCUGAGCUACUUUCUCCAUGAAGAGCUCCUGGGGUUACAUAUCCUCCCUUCACAGUAAUCCCUCCUUUCCUCACAUCCCUCACCAUUGCCUACUCUGUCACUAUCAGCCCACUCUGGGUAUGCUGAGUAGAAGAUGACAGAUUGCUUUCAGUUUGUUUCAUUUUUGUUUUUGUGUCUCACAAGUUAAAGUAGAGGUCAGGGCCUGACUUCUGUUAGUAUUUGAUAGACUGCAGGUUUCUUGGAGGAGGGAAUUUGUAUUGUUUCUACCCACAUUUUUCAGUGUGAUAGCACAUAAGUACCCAAUAAAUGUUUACUCAAAUAAUGGA
Molecule: non-coding RNA, 537 nt
Organism: Macaca mulatta (Rhesus monkey)
Lineage: Eukaryota; Metazoa; Chordata; Mammalia; Primates; Cercopithecidae
Source: RefSeq, a predicted model, not a curated record